RNAcentral lists this small RNA (46 nucleotides) under Seminavis robusta. The record is from RNAcentral. Lineage: Eukaryota; Bacillariophyta; Bacillariophyceae; Naviculales; Naviculaceae.
AAAACGGAUUUUAUAAAAUCCACCCUUUCCACAAAGACCCAUGGAU